Molecule: long non-coding RNA, 805 nt
Organism: Sebastes umbrosus (honeycomb rockfish)
Lineage: Eukaryota; Metazoa; Chordata; Actinopteri; Perciformes; Sebastidae
Exons: 2
Source: RefSeq, a predicted model, not a curated record
AUAAUUUCAAUAGCGCAUUAAUGAGACACAUUACGUCCAAAUAGAGCAGCUAAAAGACAACAAACUGAAGCUUGAUACAAGUGAGAGUUAGCCUAGCUCGUUAGCUUAGCUCGUUAGCUUAGCAUUAGCAUGGAGAUAACCUCCUCUCUUGACUGACUGACUGCAAGAGUCUGUCUGGAAAACAAACAAGCAUCGAGUCCUCUGGAGCCUUCAGAGACACAUCAGACGGCUGUGAAAGAGAGGAGGGAAAGACGAAGGCGGAAACUGAUCCCAGGAGACACCCACAGAUCUCUUGAAUCUUUGCCGAUAUACAGAAUGAGGAAAGAAAACAGAUACAGUCCAAUCAAACCAAAGUUGUCUUUUGUUUCUUCAUCAGUUAAGAACUUAAAACUGUUUCAAGAAAGUGAAUACACGCACGGGUGUAACUGAAAACAGCCAUGACUCUUGCAUGAGUGUGAUCAGUGGAGUGCACGGCUAAAACAGCUAUCGUGAACAAGACUGGAAAUAUAUAUGACUUUGAUUAAGGAUUAAAUGAUGCUGUGUGUUUGGACUAACCCUGCUGUGACCUUCUGUACCACAGCUGAAAAGAAGCAUUCAAAACACAGUCCAGCUUCCUCACUUUCAACAAUUUAAUACAAAAACCAAACAUUUCUUUCUCUCGUUUAGCAUUUCAUAUACAGCAUAUUUAUAUAUUUGUGUUUCUAUGAGUGAUAAAAGCUCACAUCAUUGGAAAAGAAAACCUGGAUACAGAGCAAACAAUAACAACACCAACAUACCAUCCGCUUGAAGAUGAAAACGGGACAAU